This 274-nucleotide ribosomal RNA is filed under the name uncultured bacterium. Its description in RNAcentral is "partial 16S ribosomal RNA". It matches the Rfam family "Bacterial small subunit ribosomal RNA", at positions 523 to 796 of the family's 1533-position model. The record is from RNAcentral.
AUACAGAGAGUGCAAGCGUUAAUCGGAAUAACUGGGCGUAAAGCGCACGUAGGUGGACAUUUAAGUCGGAUGUGAAAGCCCUAGGCUUAACCUAGGAACUGCAUCCGAUACUGGAUGUCUAGAGUAUAGUAGAGGGAAGUGGAAUUUCCGGUGUAGCGGUGAAAUGCGUAGAUAUCGGAAAGAACACCAGUGGCGAAGGCGGCUUCCUGGACUAAUACUGACACUGAGGUGCGAAAGCGUGGGGAGCAAACAGGAUUAGAAACCCCGGUAGUCC